RNAcentral lists this ribosomal RNA (107 nucleotides) under Gammaproteobacteria bacterium. Its description in RNAcentral is "partial 16S ribosomal RNA". It matches the Rfam family "Bacterial small subunit ribosomal RNA", at positions 1 to 106 of the family's 1533-position model. Lineage: Bacteria; Pseudomonadati; Pseudomonadota; Gammaproteobacteria. The record is from RNAcentral.
AAAGUGAAGAGUUUGAUCCUGGCUCAGAUUGAACGCUGGCGGCAUGCUAAAAACAUGCAAGUCGAACGGUAGCCGGCCCAUCGGGGUGCUGACGAGUGGCGUGCGGG